This 450-nucleotide ribosomal RNA is filed under the name uncultured bacterium. Its description in RNAcentral is "partial 16S ribosomal RNA". It matches the Rfam family "Bacterial small subunit ribosomal RNA", at positions 354 to 796 of the family's 1533-position model. The record is from RNAcentral.
GUGGGGAAUAUUGGACAAUGGGCGAAAGCCUGAUCCAGCCAUGCCGCGUGUGUGAAGAAGGUCUUCGGAUUGUAAAGCACUUUAAGUUGGGAGGAAGGGCAGUAAGUUAAUACCUUGCUGUUUUGACGUUACCGACAGAAUAAGCACCGGCUAACUUCGUGCCAGCAGCCGCGGUAAUACGAAGGGUGCAAGCGUUAAUCGGAAUUACUGGGCGUAAAGCGCGCGUAGGUGGUUUUGUAAGUUGGAGGUGAAAUCCCCGGGCUCAACCUGGGAACUGCCUCCAAAACUGCAGGACUAGAGUACGGUAGAGGGUAGUGGAAUUUCCUGUGUAGCGGUGAAAUGCGUAGAUAUAGGAAGGAACACCAGUGGCGAAGGCGACUACCUGGACUGAUACUGACACUGAGGUGCGAAAGCGUGGGGAGCAAACAGGAUUAGAAACCCUGGUAGUCC